Molecule: non-coding RNA, 244 nt
Filed under: Pseudoselenomonas ruminantium
Lineage: Bacteria; Bacillati; Bacillota; Negativicutes; Selenomonadales; Selenomonadaceae
Description: Selenomonas ruminantium T-box sequence
Rfam family: T-box leader
About the family: Uncharged tRNA acts as the effector for transcription antitermination of genes in the T-box leader family. T-boxes are found upstream of many aminoacyl-tRNA synthetase genes and some amino acid biosynthetic genes usually in Gram-positive bacteria.
Source: RNAcentral
GUAAAUGCAAAGACGGAGAGAAGUAAGAGGCAGAAGUCUUACAGAGAGCGGCGGGCUGGUGUAACGCCGCAGAUGGAACCUUUGAAAUACACUCCUGAGCAGCCGGUUGAACAACUGAUGUACAGAUUAGUAGGCCGCGCCGGAAUGCCACCGUUAUCAGAGGCUAGGAUAUGUAUGUAUCCGAAUAGAGAGGCUUGCAUCAGCAAGCAGGGUGGUACCACGGGUAUAACAGCUCGUCCCUGUG